AAACCGUUUGUAAACCCUUUAUCUGUUGCUUACGUUCUGACUGAUCUACCUCUUAACUUUUAGAUAUCUGUGUUUGUGGGGGGAAAAAAUACUUCAUCUUUAUGCUAAAACUGGCCAGGUUCCUGUUCCAUGCCUGUUGGUGUGCCAACUGAGCUGACGUCGAGCUAAUCCUACUCCAAACCAGGAGAUCUGUUGAAUCCUGACAACUCCUUCCAGUGCGUUCUGCUCUGGCGGGCCUUUCCUUUCUGUCUAAAGCUUCUCGACACAGUUCCGGAUUUGCCAAAUCCUCAGACGACGAAACGAACCCUGUCGCUUCAUUGUGUGAGCAUCGAACGCCCUUCCACCCACCUUCUCCCCCUCAUCCAUCCUCCCGCUGGUCGUCUUCUCUCUCUCCUUUGCUACAGAGAUGGGGGGCGACAGGCAGGAAGUUGGUUUUCAGUUUGAGGCUUUAAGCAUCGGGGAUUGGUUUCAAUUUAAUGCCCCAAUGUGAAGAAGAAAGAAUCAAUUUAAAGUAGCUGAGUCCCCUGGGUCUCCUGGUUGAGCGAACAGUAGAAAUGACAAAGACAGACAGAAUAGAGAGAUACAAAUCACAGACAAAGAAACUGAGAAAUUAUUAUAGCAAAACC
This is a long non-coding RNA of Gambusia affinis (western mosquitofish), 626 nucleotides long. RefSeq lists it as uncharacterized. The record is from RefSeq and is a predicted model, not a curated record. The transcript has 3 exons. NCBI's taxonomy places the organism in Eukaryota, Metazoa, Chordata, Actinopteri, Cyprinodontiformes, Poeciliidae.